UGAGAGUUUGAUCCUGGCUCAGAGCGAACGCUGGCGGCAUGCCUAACACAUGCAAGUCGAACGGCUCUUCGGAGCAGUGGCGCACGGGUGAGUAACGCGUGGGAACCUACCCCGAGGUACGGAAUAACGGCUGGAAACGGCCGCUAAUACCGUAUGUGUCCUGAGGGAGAAAGAUUUAUCGCCUUGGGAGGGGCCCGCGUUCGAUUAGCUAGUUGGUGAGGUAAUGGCUCACCAAGGCUUCGAUCGAUAGCUGGUCUGAGAGGAUGAUCAGCCACACUGGGACUGAGACACGGCCCAGACUCCUACGGGAGGCAGCAGUGGGGAAUAUUGGACAAUGGGGGCAACCCUGAUCCAGCCAUGCCGCGUGUGUGAAGAAGGCUUUCGGGUUGUAAAGCACUUUCAGUGAGGAGGAAAACCUUACGACUAAUACUCGUGAGGCUUGACGUUACUCACAGAAGAAGCACCGGCUAACUCCGUGCCAGCAGCCGCGGUAAUACGUAGGGUGCGAGCGUUGUCCGGAAUUAUUGGGCGUAAAGAGCUCGUAGGCGGUCUGUCACGUCGGCUGUGAAAACC
Molecule: ribosomal RNA, 573 nt
Filed under: Synchroma pusillum
Lineage: Eukaryota; Synchromophyceae; Synchromales; Synchromaceae
Description: partial Bacterial small subunit ribosomal RNA
Rfam family: Bacterial small subunit ribosomal RNA
Source: RNAcentral